CUGGCUCAGUGCGGCUGGAUCACCUCCCCUAGAGUUUGAUCCCGGAUCGGUGAGUAAUGCCUACGAAUCUGCCUGGUAGUGGGGGAUAACGUCCGGAAACGGGCGCUAAUACCGCAUACGUCCUGAGGGAGAAAGUGGGGGAUCUUCGGACCUCACGCUAUCAGAUGAGCCUAGGUCGGAUUAGCUAGUUGGUGGGGUAAAGGCCUACCAAGGCGACGAUCCGUAACUGGUCUGAGAGGAUGAUCAGUCACACUGGAACUGAGACACGGUCCAGACUCCUACGGGAGGCAGCAGUGGGGAAUAUUGGACAAUGGGCGAAAGCCUGAUCCAGCCAUGCCGCGUGUGUGAAGAAGGUCUUCGGAUUGUAAAGCACUUUAAGUUGGGAGGAAGGGCAGUAAGUUAAUACCUUGCUGUUUUGACGUUACCAACAGAAUAAGCACCGGCUAACUUCGUGCCAGCAGCCGCGGUAAUACGAAGGGUGCAAGCGUUAAUCGGAAUUACUGGGCGUAAAGCGCGCGUAGGUGGUUCAGCAAGUUGGAUGUGAAAUCCCCGGGCUCAACCUGGGAACUGCAUCCAAAACUACUGAGCUAGAGUACGGUAGAGGGUGGUGGAAUUUCCUGUGUAGCGGUGAAAUGCGUAGAUAUAGGAAGGAACACCAGUGGCGAAGGCGACCACCUGGACUGAUACUGACACUGAGGUGCGAAAGCGUGGGGAGCAAACAGGAUUAGAUACCCUGGUAGUCCACGCCGUAAACGAUGUCGACUAGCCGUUGGGAUCCUUGAGAUCUUAGUGGCGCAGCUAACGCGAUAAGUCGACCGCCUGGGGAGUACGGCCGCAAGGUUAAAACUCAAAUGAAUUGACGGG
This 864-nucleotide ribosomal RNA is filed under the name Pseudomonas aeruginosa. Its description in RNAcentral is "bacterial SSU rRNA". It matches the Rfam family "Bacterial small subunit ribosomal RNA", at positions 72 to 917 of the family's 1533-position model. Lineage: Bacteria; Pseudomonadati; Pseudomonadota; Gammaproteobacteria; Pseudomonadales; Pseudomonadaceae. The record is from RNAcentral.